UCCGUGAACGAAUUCCCCAUGAAAAACUCCGAUUUCUGCAUUCUGGCACGCGGCAGCAGCUUUUCCCCCGAAGGAUUUUCGUCGGUCCCCGAACUAAUAUCAAAUUGAUAGCUUUUAAAUUUGAUUUCGCGUCUUAUCACCGACCGCUUAAGCGAACAGUUUCGGAGCUGCAGCCCCCAAUCGCUACGCAAUCCACAGCGAUGGUUGGAAAAACAAAUGGAGUGUGGCCGGGUGGAGGGAGCACCCCCUCAUGCAUUAAAAAUGAGGAUGGCAGGGCAUUUGAUGCUGUGCAAGUGCAACGUGGCGUAUGCUUGUUGUGUUUUGUUUUGCUCGCUUUGCGUCCGCAUUGAAAAUACAUUGAAAAUGCCGGUGCAACACAAGUGUUUCGGCCUUGAUACGGAUACGAUGCUAUAUGCUGGAUAUAGAGUCAUCCAUCCGACCGUCCCAUUCAGAAUCCAUAGGCUUCAAGUCACAUGCCGGCCAACUAAUAUCGAGCACUCUUGAGAACGCAGAGCCUCAGGAAAAUGUUAUCACAGUCUGCAUCCGGCACGGAGUCCUCCGCCUCUGCCGAAGUGCAACUCGGCGAUUCGGUUCAAAUUCCGCUUUACAGUCUCUGCUCCUCGGCGCUCAGAUGCUAGUCGGCAUUUGGCGCGUGCAGUUCAGUUCAGUUCACUCGGUCGAAAAUUGCCCGGACUCGUUUAAUAGCGGAAUAUCGUUCUAAAAUUAAACAUUUCGCGGAGGCACUGAGAGAAAACUAUCGCUCGAAUCGCUAGUAAUUCGGUAAUUUUGCUUAGCAAAGCGAGGACCAGAAAUAGGAAGAAAAUAUUUGUUAAAAUAAAAAAAAUAGUUGUCUAAUGCCC
Molecule: non-coding RNA, 860 nt
Organism: Drosophila melanogaster (fruit fly)
Lineage: Eukaryota; Metazoa; Arthropoda; Insecta; Diptera; Drosophilidae
Source: Ensembl